CGAGCGAUCUUCUUCGGAAGAGAGCGGCGGACGGGUGAGUAACGCGUGGGUAACCUGCCCUGUACACACGGAUAACAUACCGAAAGGUAUGCUAAUACGGGAUAACAUAAGAAAUUCGCAUGUUUUUCUUAUCAAAGCUCCGGCGGUACAGGAUGGACCCGCGUCUGAUUAGCUAGUUGGUGAGGUAACGGCUCACCAAGGCGACGAUCAGUAGCCGACCUGAGAGGGUGAUCGGCCACAUUGGAACUGAGACACGGUCCAAACUCCUACGGGAGGCAGCAGUGGGGAAUAUUGCACAAUGGGCGAAAGCCUGAUGCAGCAACGCCGCGUGAGCGAUGAAGGCCUUCGGGUCGUAAAGCUCUGUCCUCAAGGAAGAUAAUGACGGUACUUGAGGAGGAAGCCCCGGCUAACUACGUGCCAGCAGCCGCGGUAAUACGUAGGGGGCUAGCGUUAUCCGGAUUUACUGGGCGUAAAGGGUGCGUAGGCGGUCUUUUAAGUCAGGAGUGAAAGGCUACGGCUCAACCGUAGUAAGCUCUUGAAACUGGAGGACUUGAGUGCAGGAGAGGAGAGUGGAAUUCCUAGUGUAGCGGUGAAAUGCGUAGAUAUUAGGAGGACACCAGUAGCGAAGGCGGCUCUCUGGACUGUAA
Molecule: ribosomal RNA, 647 nt
Filed under: uncultured Clostridium sp.
Lineage: Bacteria; Bacillati; Bacillota; Clostridia; Eubacteriales; Clostridiaceae
Description: bacterial SSU rRNA
Rfam family: Bacterial small subunit ribosomal RNA
Source: RNAcentral